GAAGGAAGGAAGGAAGGAAGGAAGGAAGGAAGGAAGGAAGGAAAUGUUUCAAGCUUUUAGAGGCCAGCAAGUCCACACCACAGUCUCAGCAGGGGUCCAUGGCAAAGCUUGCUGUAGAUUUGGAUGCUGAGCCCUGCCUGAGUGCUGAACUCCCAAGUACCUCUUCAGAGACUUAGCAUGGCUCUUGCAGAAGAUAAAGCCAGGCUAUGGGACAGUCUUGUGGCAGAACCUUUCUAGGAGUUUUAGAACACUUGGAAAAUUUCUUUAGUGGGAGGCUGGAGUCUCAGAGGUCACAGCUGAAGCUCUAGGAGUGCUUCCAAGCCUCUGGGAAUGACCAUCACGGCCCCUCCUGACCAUGCAAAAGAUGAAGCCCAGGCACACUGCUGAUUCCCACUCUACUGCUGAUUUCAUUGCAAGGGCCAUAGAGGUUGCACGUCAGACGCCUGGAGAGUCAGGACUGCAGGUUGCCUCCUCAGGUGCUUUA
Molecule: long non-coding RNA, 484 nt
Organism: Passer domesticus (house sparrow)
Lineage: Eukaryota; Metazoa; Chordata; Aves; Passeriformes; Passeridae
Exons: 3
Source: RefSeq, a predicted model, not a curated record